GAGCGGGGAGCCGGGCGGCUGCAGAGGAGCCAGCUGCAUGGGGUGCUGUGUGUUUUUCAGGGCGCCCUGCGUCCGGCAGAGGAGGCGAGCAUCCCGCUCAGGUGAUGAGGAACCCCUCGCGCACCCAGCGCAGAAGGCUGCUGCGGCCGGACGCCUCCAUUGUUUGACCACAACAAGGGCCGGAUUCUCACCCAGCAGGAUCCUAAGGCCUUUGUAGCCCUUCAGCCACUGUGGGCCCUGCCUCUGCCUGUUCUUCUGGAAUGUCUUGGGGGUUUUGAUCCUGUCAUUGUGACCUGCAAAUCCAAGAGACACAUCUCUGGAAGAUAAGCGAGCUUCUUCCUCAAGACCAAAAAAGGAGAUGGCAUGAUACCCAUGUAGGGAAUUCCCCAAAGCAAGACUUGCCAUACCUGGACCCUGAGGAGCCUGCUUGCUGGAGAGGCUUUUGUGUCUGAUGUGCAGGAGGCAGAAUGCCAAACUGACUCUUCAAGGGGCGACUGCAGGGGCUCGAGACCAGCCAGCAGUAUCUCAUCCUUCGAUACAGGGGAUAUACUGUACAGUCCUUUUUCUAGAAGUGAGAAGUACAACAUUACUCUACAAGAGGAAGAUUCUAGGGGCUCAAAAACAAAAAGGUUUGCACCUUGAGAGCCCUUUGGAAUGUUGACAACUCAGGAUCUAAAACAAAGUUCUAUGUUAAUGAGUUACAGAAUACACGUGGAAGUCAAUGUCACUUUAUAAUCAAUAAUAAUACUGAGUGAGGAACACUAUGCAGGAAGAAACCUUCCAUAGAAAGACAGGCAGGGAAAAGCUUAGGCUGAUCUUAAACUUACCUAAUAGAGCAAGCCUGAGAUAGACUGCCAAAAUGGCCAAAUAAGAGACUCUAUGAAAUAACAGUCUUGUAACUGUAGUAAUUGUAAGGAAAUUUUCUCCUCCAAAUCACGAUACCAAAUAGGAAAAAUGAUCUACAAGUGCCCCAUGUGUAGGGAAUUUUUCUCUGAGAGAGCAGAUCUUUUUAUGCAUCAGAAAAUUCACACAGCUGAGAAGCCCCAUAAAUGUGACAAGUGUGAUAAGGGUUUCUUUCAUAUAUCAGAACUUCAUAUUCAUUGGAGAGACCAUACAGGAGAGAAGGUCUAUAAAUGUGAUGAUUGUGGUAAGGAUUUUAGCACUACAACAAAACUUAAUAGACAUAAGAAAAUCCACACAGUGGAGAAGCCCUAUAAAUGUUAUGAGUGUGGCAAAGCCUUCAAUUGGAGCUCCCAUCUUCAAAUUCAUAUGAGAGUUCAUACAGGUGAGAAACCUUAUGUCUGUAGUGAGUGUGGAAGGGGCUUUAGUAAUAGUUCAAACCUUUGCAUGCAUCAGAGAGUCCACACCGGAGAGAAGCCCUUUAAAUGUGAAGAGUGUGGGAAGGCCUUCAGGCACACCUCCAGCCUCUGCAUGCAUCAAAGAGUCCACACAGGAGAGAAACCCUAUAAAUGUUAUGAGUGUGGGAAGGCCUUCAGUCAGAGUUCGA
This is an RNA transcript of Mandrillus leucophaeus (drill), 1507 nucleotides long. It is a transcript of the gene named filamin-interacting protein FAM101A, with no coding region annotated. Lineage: Eukaryota; Metazoa; Chordata; Mammalia; Primates; Cercopithecidae. The record is from RefSeq and is a predicted model, not a curated record. The transcript is spliced from 4 exons.